This 1096-nucleotide long non-coding RNA is filed under the name Zostera marina. RNAcentral's name for it is "long non-coding RNA (ZMAR_LNC005314)". The record is from RNAcentral. Lineage: Eukaryota; Viridiplantae; Streptophyta; Magnoliopsida; Alismatales; Zosteraceae.
UGAUUUUCGACGAAGCAUGUUGAGUUUGCAUCAGAAUAAAGACCAAGGAAUAUGAGAGCUAGCCUGAUUUACUAAUUGAGAUUAGAAAACAUUUAUCUUCAGUCUUUCAUUUCAUGCUUUAGUUUAUGUGUUAAAAAACUCUGAUGAGUUGAGUUUAGUAAUAGAGCUUAAUAGUAUUUUUUUUAAAUAAAAAUCGUGAUAAAUAUAUAUCAAAAAAAAUGGUGUGGCAGUGGCCCUACUGAAUUUGACUCGUAUAGAUAGGGUGUCAAACGAGCCGAGCCGAAUUUUUGCUUAUAAAACCAGGCUUAGGCUCGUUAAGGAGUCCAGGCUAGCUCAAGUUCGUCGAGCCUGGUUUGACCGAGCUCGGGCUCGGCUCGUUUUAAGAAUUGCCAAGCUCGGGCUCGAGCCCACGAGUCUGGGCUCAAAUUAAAAAAAAAAAUUAUUUGGAGACAGAGGAUCGAACCCGUAACCUCUCGUAUGCUUAAUAAACGUUUUACUAUUUGUGAUAUACUGAUACAUCUUCAUUUUUUGUAAAUAUAAUAUUUUUUUAUACUUUUUACCGAGCCCACCGAGCUUAACGAGCCGAGCCGAGUUUUAUUUGACACCCUACGUAUAGAGGUACGUCCGAAGGUUACAAGUAACAUAAAUUAUAAUAAAAACAAAGACAAUUUACACACUCGCUUAAAAAAAACUCAUCUGUCUAGUCUCAGGUUUCCACACCUUUUUCCUUUCAUCUCGGUUUCAGAAUCUUUCAAAAAGGUUGGGAUAUGCUUCCGCCAGCCAUGUGUUUGUGUCCACUCGAGAACCUGACACUCCUAUAGUCCGUUGAAGGCAUCGUCCUUUCCCUCUUUCCCGAAAGAAGACAAGGGUCGAAUUCGUUAGCAAUCAACUAGUCGGACGUGGGACAAACGUAUGGUAGCUACCGUCAUCCGUCCACCCUAAAAGAGUUUCGUUAUUAAAGGAAUGAACCCCGACCAGACUCUUCGGCCUUUCCUCAUUUAUCUCACUAUACCCAAUUUGGGGUCCAGAUCCACUACGUACUAAAUAACUUCUGUUAAUAGAUUAUUUUGGAUACCCUCUCUAUCUUAUAAAACAA